UUUCUGUAAACAUUCGGGGAGGUGGCUGGCUGAUGGUGGUGAUGAUAAUUAACUGUGCAUGACGCUCCUGCAAGACGUGGCCUCUUCCUCCGUUUCGUCAUCCCACCCCAUCUGUUGGGCACUGAUAAGGUGGACAGUUUACCAGAAGAAUCAUACAAGAAUAUCAGAUGUGAGCAAAGAAUGUGUGAAGAAAGGAGCCCUGAUCCCUUCCUCUUUGCUUCUCCCAAUGUCAGGUUGACAAGAACACCAAUCCAUAGGAAAAUGCCUGACAAUAUUAUUAUGCUUCUUCAAUUAUUUCUGGGACGGCUGAACUAAAAGCGGUGGAAACGGGAGCCCUCUUAUGGAGAGAAUGAAAACAGGAGAAACCCUCAGAACUAGGUUGUAUUUGAAGGAAAUUUAAACCCUAAGAAGACCCAAGAAACCAGUCAAAAAUGCUCCUGAAAAGAUAUCCCAAAAGAGUUGGUUCUUGCCAGCGUAAACGCACCUACAUUUUUAAAACACAAGAAUUUAGUUUUGCUUCUGAAGACACAAAUAAGAAAGGAGAGGAGAUGGAAGUGCCUACCUCAUCUUGUGAUCCAGAAAUGAACUUCUUUCUACUUCUGACCAUUUUCUUUAUAACUCUACCCAUUAAUAAUGUGAGAACUGGUAAGAACCCUGUGUGCAGCUUUGUAAAAAUGUACUGGUUCCUGGCUGAAAAUGUUUAUUCUUAGCAGAUGAAAGAAAAGAAGUACUAUAGCUGCACGUUAGUGCAGCAAUGUUAUUGCUCAGCAGGGAAAAAGAAAAUUCUACAAGGCAGUUCUGAAAAUUGGGGGCAGCCCAAACAUAAAAAUUAUAGCUUUGAAACUGGACUUCAGAUCGGCACCAAAUUUGGCAUACAGAUAGCAGAGCGUCUGCUCUUGCGCUGUGCCAGAGGGUCUACAUCAGGGGUGGGUAACUUCAGCAGGUCCAGGGGCAGUAAUGUCCUAUACUGCUGGCCACAGUAAUGAAAAAUGAAAAACAAAAAAAAAUGCCCCCCCCAAAAGGGAACUUGCUUCCUUUCAGUUUUCUAAAAAUG
RNAcentral lists this long non-coding RNA (1054 nucleotides) under Pogona vitticeps (central bearded dragon). RNAcentral's name for it is "lncRNA (ENSPVIG00000003444.1)". Lineage: Eukaryota; Metazoa; Chordata; Lepidosauria; Squamata; Agamidae. The record is from RNAcentral.